RNAcentral lists this ribosomal RNA (492 nucleotides) under uncultured bacterium. Its description in RNAcentral is "bacterial SSU rRNA". It matches the Rfam family "Bacterial small subunit ribosomal RNA", at positions 791 to 1281 of the family's 1533-position model. The record is from RNAcentral.
UAGUCCACACCGUAAACGAUGAGAGCUAGUUGUCUGCAAGCAUGCUUGUAGGUGACGCAGCUAACGCAUUAAGCUCUCCGCCUGGGGAGUACGGUCGCAAGAUUAAAACUCAAAGAAAUUGACGGGGGCCCGCACAAGCGGUGGAGCAUGUGGUUUAAUUCGAAGCAACGCGCAGAACCUUACCUACCCUUGACAUGCCGGUCGCGAUUUCCAGAGAUGGAUUUCUUCAAUUCGGUUGGACCGUGCACAGGUGCUGCAUGGCCGUCGUCAGCUCGUGUCGUGAGAUGUUGGGUUAAGUCCCGCAACGAGCGCAACCCUCACUUUUAGUUGCCAGCAUUUAGUUGGGCACUCUAGAAGAACUGCCGGUGCUAAGCCGGAGGAAGGUGGGGAUGACGUCAGGUCCUCAUGGCCCUUACGGCCAGGGCCACACACGUACUACAAUGGCAAAGACAAAGGGUAGCAAUAUCGCGAGAUGGAGCCAAUCCCAAAAAC